AUUGAACGCUGGCGGCAUGCCUUACACAUGCAAGUCGAACGGCAGCACGGGAGCAAUCCUGGUGGCGAGUGGCGAACGGGUGAGUAAAGUAUCGGAACGUGCCCAGUCGUGGGGGAUAACGUAGCGAAAGUUACGCUAAUACCGCAUACGAUCUACGGAUGAAAGCGGGGGAUCGCAAGACCUCGCGCGGACGGAGCGGCCGAUGGCAGAUUAGGUAGUUGGUGGGGUAAAGGCCUACCAAGCCGACGAUCUGUAGCUGGUCUGAGAGGACGACCAGCCACACUGGGACUGAGACACGGCCCAGACUCCUACGGGAGGCAGCAGUGGGGAAUUUUGGACAAUGGGCGCAAGCCUGAUCCAGCCAUGCCGCGUGCAGGAUGAAGGCCUUCGGGUUGUAGACUGCUUUUGUACGGAACGAAAAGGUUUCUUUUAAUACAGGGAACUGAUGACGGUACCGUAAGAAUAAGCACCGGCUAACUACGUGCCAGCAGCCGCAGUAA
Molecule: ribosomal RNA, 500 nt
Filed under: uncultured bacterium
Lineage: Bacteria
Description: partial 16S ribosomal RNA
Rfam family: Bacterial small subunit ribosomal RNA
Source: RNAcentral